UUCUUCGUGGUGUAGUGGUCAGCACGCUCGACGCGUAACCGAGAGGUCCGUGGUUCGAUUCCCGGCGAAGGUG
Molecule: transfer RNA, 73 nt
Filed under: Stegodyphus mimosarum
Lineage: Eukaryota; Metazoa; Arthropoda; Arachnida; Araneae; Eresidae
Rfam family: tRNA
About the family: Transfer RNA (tRNA) molecules are approximately 80 nucleotides in length. Their secondary structure includes four short double-helical elements and three loops (D, anti-codon, and T loops).
Source: Rfam by way of RNAcentral